This is a long non-coding RNA of Leucoraja erinaceus (little skate), 619 nucleotides long. RefSeq lists it as uncharacterized. The transcript is spliced from 2 exons. The record is from RefSeq and is a predicted model, not a curated record. Lineage: Eukaryota; Metazoa; Chordata; Chondrichthyes; Rajiformes; Rajidae.
UACCGCAGGGGGGGAAUGUUUGUGGUUGAACACAUAUCAUGUUUCUCAGUAGAAUGAUUGUUACAACAAUAACAGCUUGUUAUUAUAAAGCAUCUUCAACACAGCGAAGCACUCAGGGACAUUUCACAGGAGUACUAUCAGAAACAACUUUACACCAAGCUCCACAUGACUGACGGUCAGAAGGCUGUUCAGAGCAAUAGCUUCCGAUUGCCUUUGAGGAGGAAAGAAAGGAUUAAUGAGUGAAUUACAGAGCCUUGGGCCUUGGCCGUCGAAGGCAGGCCAGGGUCACCAGUGGAGAUUGGGAGCAUUUAAACGGCAGGUAGCAGAGAAGUUGAAACCUUCAAGUUCAGGACCAAUUUGCAUUUAUACCAAGCCAAUUAACCUACAAACCUGUACGUCUUUGGAGUGUGAGAGGAAACCGAAGAUCUUGAAAAAACCCACGUGGUCACGGGGAGAACAUACAAACUCCGUACAGACAGCACCCGCAUUCGGGAUCGAACCUGGGUCUGUGGCGCUGUGCGCCAACAACUCUACCACUGCACCACCAUGCCGCCCUAUAUAUGGAUUAUAGAUUACUUUUAUACUAAAUGUAAAGAGAAUAAAAUGAUAUUUACCUGCC